Molecule: ribosomal RNA, 256 nt
Filed under: Klebsiella pneumoniae
Lineage: Bacteria; Pseudomonadati; Pseudomonadota; Gammaproteobacteria; Enterobacterales; Enterobacteriaceae
Description: partial 16S ribosomal RNA
Rfam family: Bacterial small subunit ribosomal RNA
Source: RNAcentral
CCUGGGGAGUACGGCCGCAAGGUUAAAACUCAAAUGAAUUGACGGGGGCCCGCACAAGCGGUGGAGCAUGUGGUUUAAUUCGAUGCAACGCGAAGAACCUUACCUGGUCUUGACAUCCACAGAACUUUCCAGAGAUGGAUUGGUGCCUUCGGGAACUGUGAGACAGGUGCUGCAUGGCUGUCGUCAGCUCGUGUUGUGAAAUGUUGGGUUAAGUCCCGCAACGAGCGCAACCCUUAUCCUUUGUUGCCAGCGGUCC